AUGAACGCUGGCGGCGUGCCUAAUACAUGCAAGUCGAGCGCACAGAUAAGGAGCUUGCUCCUUUGACGUUAGCGGCGGACGGGUGAGUAACACGUGGGUAACCUACCUAUAAGACUGGAAUAACUCCGGGAAACCGGGGCUAAUGCCGGAUAACAUUUAGAACCGCAUGGUUCUAAAGUGAAAGAUGGUUUUGCUAUCACUUAUAGAUGGACCCGCGCCGUAUUAGCUAGUUGGUAAGGUAACGGCUUACCAAGGCAACGAUACGUAGCCGACCUGAGAGGGUGAUCGGCCACACUGGAACUGAGACACGGUCCAGACUCCUACGGGAGGCAGCAGUAGGGAAUCUUCCGCAAUGGGCGAAAGCCUGACGGAGCAACGCCGCGUGAGUGAUGAAGGUCUUCGGAUCGUAAAACUCUGUUAUUAGGGAAGAACAAAUGUGUAAGUAACUGUGCACGUCUUGACGGUACCUAAUCAGAAAGCCACGGCUAACUACGUG
RNAcentral lists this ribosomal RNA (496 nucleotides) under uncultured bacterium. RNAcentral's name for it is "partial 16S ribosomal RNA". It matches the Rfam family "Bacterial small subunit ribosomal RNA", at positions 29 to 507 of the family's 1533-position model. The record is from RNAcentral.